Molecule: ribosomal RNA, 570 nt
Filed under: uncultured Sulfobacillus sp.
Lineage: Bacteria; Bacillati; Bacillota; Clostridia; Eubacteriales; Clostridiales Family XVII. Incertae Sedis
Description: partial 16S ribosomal RNA
Rfam family: Bacterial small subunit ribosomal RNA
Source: RNAcentral
UCCUACGGGAGGCAGCAGUAGGGAAUCUUCCACAAUGGGCGCAAGGCUGAUGGAGCAACGCCGCGUGAGUGAAGACGGCCUUCGGGUUGUAAAGCUCUGUCNGUNGGGACCGAGGACCCCGGGCAACGCNNGGNGGGACGGUACCGUUAAAGGAAGCCCCUGCUAACUACGUGCCAGCAGCCGCGGUAAGACGUAGGGGGCAAGCGUUGUCCGGAAUUACUGGGCGUAAAGGGCGUGUAGGCGGUGCGUUACGUAGCGGUUUUCAGCCNCCNGCUCACCCGGAGGAGGGCGGCUAAACGGCCGCACUGGAGGGCAGGAGAGGUGCAUGGAAUUCCUGGUGGAGCGGUGAAAUGCGUAGAGAUCAGGAAGAACACCAGUGGCGAAGGCGAUGCACUGGCCUGACCCUGACGCUGAGGCGCGACAGCGUGGGGAGCNAACGGGAUUAGAUACCCCGGUAGUCCACGCUCGUAANGAGAUNGAUGGUAGUGUNAGCGGGNUUCCAGCCUACUCGUGACNGNAUGGUCAGGGANNCCAAUAGGCNCUGCCUGAAACUCNNNNCCAGNUGACNGG